AUAUCUAUCUACCUAUCUCAUUCCCUCUCUGAAAAGGUAAGCAAAGUAUUUACCAAUGUAAGGUCCCUGAAAAAAAAUGACUCAAAGGUGAACUCUAGCCAAACUAAAAAUACAGAACUGAUGGGAAAACCUAUUGUACAAAAAGAUUUGCACUAAGCCUAAGACAUACAUAGAUUAAAUUUAAAGAAUUGUGGCAAAUAUGGUUCUACACCAAGAGCAAAUGUCAAAAACAAAAUCUGAAAGAAACACACCUAAUAAGAAGCGUAGGUGUGUGAAAGAAACACACCUAAUAAGAAGCUCUCCGCAAAGCACUCAACACAUAGGAUGUGCUUUAUAAAUACUUGCUUAAUGAGCCUAGGACCCUUCCCAUGUACAAAAAAAAUAAGUCAGAGAACAGGGGAUGGCCAGUACUUAGAGGAAGCUGAGUCAUUUUUCUCCUUCCCUUGGGUCAAGUAGAAAAUUAAGGAGGGUGAAUAGUGGAAGUUUCUGUUCCCUUUAUGCCUAAGAAACAUUUUAUUUUUGUUAUUUCAAAGUGGAAGUCAAGUUCGUUAUUUCCGUGUGAUUAUUAUUACAAGCUCAAAGGAGCUUGGUCAGACUUUCAGGUUCUUUAUUUAGAAAGUGCUGGGCGGUCUGAGAGCGGAUAUGUGUCUUUUGCACUGAAACAGACAGCGCCCCAUGUCAAUGGGCCUAAAGGGAUAACGUGUCUUCCCUGGAUACUGACUGUCAGCCAUGAAAUCCAACUCAAUGACACCACACCCUCCUCUCCCCUUCCUGUUGGUGUGACUUACCCUUCCUUAACUUUUCACUUGGUUCUCCUGGAUUUAUGUGAUUCAUUGAGUUACAUCAGUCUGGUUUUUAAUGAAUAGAGAAUUGAUUGCAAAUUGAUCCAUAACCAUGAUAAUUUAAGAUGACAACUUAGCCCUGGGCCACCAAGCUGGAUUGCUAGGUGUCUGUAUCGGACACUCACUCACUGCUGAGCGAGCUGUUUCCCCACAUAGAAACUGGCUGCUCUGAGGAGGGGAACUGAGUUGAGCAAUACGUUGUAGUUUUGUAGGUUUGUGUUAUAAACAACAUGGGGUGGUCUGAUUCUAGCCACUCUAGAGGGAGGGGGAAACUAGUGAGGAUUAUUUGCAUAAUUUGUCCUAGAAACUCUUAGGUGAGUGAGAUCUGUUCUGGAUUAGGGAUUAAGACCAAGACCCACAAGGACAUUCUGGACAGGAAAGGUGAUGGUGGAGAUGACAGAUUCCAGAAGCAAUGUAUUACAAAGGCCAGAAGUGGUAGGAUUUUUAAUCUUGGCUUUAUCAUUAUUCACAUAUACUGGAUCUUUUUUUUUUUUGGCCACUCCGCAGCAUAUAGAGUUCCUGGGCCAGGGAUUAGAUCUGAACCACAGUUGUGACACUGCAACUGUGGCAACGCAAGAUCCUUUAACCCACUGUGCCUGGCUGGGGAUUGAAUACACAUCCUGGAUCUGUAGAGAUGCCGCUGAUACCAUUGUGCCAUAGCAGGAACUCCUGGAUCAUCUUUUUACAAAAAAAUUAAAACUCUUUUUUAUAUUCCUUUCCAUUAUGGUCCAUCACAGGAUAUUGAAUAUUGUUCCUUCUGGUGUGUAUCCACUCUAUAUAAAAUAUGUUUGCAUCUACUAACCCCAAAGUCCCAAUGCAUCCCUUCCUCACCUCUUGGCAACCAAAGUCUGUUCUCUAUACCUGUAAGACUCUUUCUGUUUUGUAGAUAAAUUCAUUUUUCAUAUUUUAGACUCCACUUGUAGAUUAUAUCAUAUGGUAUUUGUCUUUCUUUGCCUGACUCACUUCACUUAGUAGGAUAAUCUCUACUUGCAUCCAUGCUGUUGUAAAUGGCAUCAUUUCAAUCUUUUUUUUAUGGAUGAGUAGUAUUCCAUUGUAUAUAUACCACAUCUUUGUUGGAUUAUCUUUUAGGUAAUAUGAGAUUGUGUCCUUAUUUAGGGGUAAAAUCUGGAGAAAGUCUUUCUUUAUCUUUGUUUUAGAAAAUAACCUUUAGGAAGUAUUAAGUGAACAUGAUUUACCUCCCUCCUGAAUUUGACCAUGGCUCAGAAUAAAUGUGGUAAGGGGUUGCGGAUUUCCUGGGAGUCUCUUUGAUCUGCUGUAAAUGUAUCAGAAUGUUCUGCACUGUUCUUUGUCCUCUGUUAUUCAUUGUAUACAGAGAAUAUUUAAUUCUAAAUCUGGAUUAUUCUUACCUGUGGAUUAUCCACUUUGUCAAUUACCAGGGAUGAAUUUCAGACCAUUUUUUUCUGAAUGUAAACUUGUGCUAGGUAAUGCACACUCAUUUCAAUACUAGUACAAAAUCAGUAAAACUACAAAUUGUCUACAAAAAUAUAUAAAAUGCAAAAUGUUUUAUCUCAAAGCUAGAUAAAAAUGUCUUUAUAUAGUUUGUUUUUUGUUGUCUUUGUCUUUAUUAAGUAAACAUUUUUGACUUUAUAUUACUAUUGCUUAAUAGAUAAAAUAAGUACAGUGGCAUGAAACAGAAUCCUUUUAAAAAAUUUUAUAUAUUAGGAGUUCCAAUUGUAGCUCAGUGGUAACAAAUCCGACCAGUAUCCAUGAGGACGCAGGUUCUAUUCCUGGUAUCAUUUAGUGGGUUAAGGAUCUGGUGUUGCUGUGAACUGUGGUGUAGUUCACAGACGAGGCUGGAUCCUGCAUUGUUGUGGCUUUGGUGUAGGCUGGCAGCUACAUCUCCCAUUAGACCCUAACCUGGGAACUUCCAUAUGCCAUGGGGGCAGCCCUGAAAGAAAAAGAAAAACAAAAAAAAUUAAGUAAGUUCAUACUUGUGUAAUUUUCUCAAUAAUCCUUAUUUAUUAUAUUUUAAUGCUACUCUGAUUCAGGAGUUUGCAGAAUAUUCUUUUUUUUUUUCUUUUUUUGUCUUUUUGUCUUUUCUAGGGCCGCACCCACAGCAUAUGGAGGUUCCCAGGUUAGGGGUCUAAUCGGAGCCAUAGCCGCCAGGCUACGCCACAGUCGCCACAGUCACAGCAACGAGGGAUCCGAGCUGCAUCUGUGACCUACACCACAGCUCACGGCAAUGCUGGAUGCCCAACCCACUGAGCAAGGCCAGGGAUCGAACCCACAACCUCAUGGUUCCUAGUCGGAGUCAUGAUGGGAACUCCUGCAGAAUAUUCUUAUCAAUCCAUCAAUAUAUCCAUCUCUCCAUCUAUAUAUAGCCUUGAAAUAUCACCUGGUUUAAUUCUAUUAUAUUAAUACUCAAAGGGACUUGGUUUACCCUAUAUACCCACCUUAUUGUCAGUAGACUUCAUGCAAUUGCAGGGCUGCUAAAAUGCUAAACAAACUCUAGUUUAGGCCAAUAGUUUUCAGAGUCACUCAUUUGUUUUUUGAUUGUUUGUUUAUUCAGUUGAAGGAAGAAAAUACAUCAUAUACAUAUUAUGUAUGUAUGUACUAUUUGUAACAAAUAUAUUACCUAUAAGUAUGCAUAUACACACACAAUCUUCUAAGGGAGCUUGCAUCUUUCACCUGUCCUUCCGACAUUGAUUAGGGUGCUGGGUGGGGGGUGGGGAGCAGAGGAUGAGCAGAUUCCUGUGAGAAACAUUAGGGAGAGAAGAUUCAAUGCAGGAAGGUGAGGUGCGGGCAGAGUGGGCAGGAGGAAUUUUCAGGAGGGAGGGGAUCUGGGCCAAGAAGAGAGAAAUAUUGGGGGGCUGCCCAGGAAUAGAGAAGGCCCUGAGAAUUUGGAGAAAGAAUUUUAGGAAAAGUCUCUGUGGGAUACACUUUGGCAUUCUUGCAGAGAUACCAUUAGGACUGGAAAUCAUGUUUUUUUUUUGGUAGCUUCACCCACAGGCACGUGGCAGUACCCAGGACAGAGAUCCUACCUGCACCACAGUAGCCACCGGAGCCUCUGCGGUGAUAAUAUGGGACCCUUAAGGUGCUGAGCCACCAGGGGAUUCCAGAAUUGGAAUUUCUCUCUAGUUUUGGCUGCCAGGCAGGGUUUUCUGGAAUGAGCACCUGUCUGGGCACUGUAAGUGUAGGCUCGUGCUGUGCUGAAGGUACAACAUGGGGCACAAUACAUGUUCUCUGCUCCCACGGAACUUAUGCGCUAGUGAGGGAGCCGAUACAAAUCAAAUAACCAUUCAAAUACCACUGAUUCAUUCAUCAUUCAUUCAUCCAUUCAUAUCUACUAUUUUUUUAAGUACCUACAAUGUGCCAGGCAUUGUUUUAGGUUUUGGGGUUUCUGAUUCAUCAAUAAGACAGACAAUGUGAUUCCUGCUCGUGGUAGCUUUAUACUGCACCAAACUAUCUAGGCUGGAGCUACAUUUCCCCAGUUUUCCUUCUCUAUGUGUUUCUGGGGUAGACAUGGCCCCAGAGAAAUGUGCAGAAUUUCUGGAUGGCAGGAGCAAAAGCUAGCAUCUGUGCAGCUCAUGGCACAGGAGCUGCCCUGCUGGAUGGGCUGUCCUGGUGCCUGAGGUCACUUUCCAGGAUUGCUGGGCUUCCUCUUCCUGCUUUUCUGGGGCCUGGGCCCAGCCUGCUACAGCUCUGGGGCAGAGAGGCAGCUUCUGCUGAGAUUCCUCCAGUACCAGGGCUGGAACCAGUCGGUCACCAAUGUCCUAGAUUGUCCUUAUGAGCUCUACUGUGUCCUGGCCUCCAUGCACACCCACCCCUCCUUCCUGGAGACUCCAAGCUCCACACCACCUGCCCCUACAACUGCACCAGGACCAACCAUGUGACGAAUUCCUGCCCUCCAGCUCUCCUGUGGUUCUGCUGCUCUGAUUGAACCCUAACAGAUGUUCUGCUCUUGGGCUGCUGACAUUCUAGACAGACAGGGCACAGCUUAAUAAAUAAGAAAAUCAUGAAGUAUGUUUAGGAUGGAAAUGUGUGAUGGAAAGGAAAUUUGAGAAAGAAAGAGUGGGGAGAAAUAGGGUACACUGGUGGUAGAUGUGGGGAGGCAGGUGCUGCGUGAAACAAAGCAGUAGUGAUGGGCCCUCGUUAUUGAGAAUUUUAGGUUUUUUCCCCCUCUCUUUUUGUCUUUUUUUGGCCACCCCAUAUGCUAGGGCAAUGCUGGAUUCUUACCCACUGUGCUAGAAGGACUGAACCUGUGACCCAGUGCUCCAGAGAGGUCGCCAAUCCCGUUGCGCUAUGACAGCAACUCCUAAAAGGUAAGAUUUGAACAGAGUUGAGGGAAGUGAGGGAUCAGCUGGAGGGGAAACUCCAAGGGCAGAGGGAACACAAAACACAUUUCCUGAGGCACGAGGAUGCCUGGAGCAUGCCUGGCGCUUCCUGGAGGCCGUUGUGAUGGAAAGGAGGGAGCCAGGAGGGGAGUAGAAGGAUAUUGGGCCCUUGGCGGGGGCAGGGGGGUUCUGGUUUGUGCAGCAGGGGGUGGCAAACUCAGGCCAUGGGCCACAUCCUGCCCUACCUGUUUGUGUGCAUCAGGUUUUCCUGGCACACAGCCCUGCUUGUUCGUUUCCACAUCAUCUAUGGCUGCUUUCUGGCUACCAUGACAGAGCUGAAAAGUUGUAACAGAGACCAUAUUGCCUAAACAGGCUGAAACUGUCUCUAAAAAAAAGUUGCUGGUCCCUGGUCUACAGCCUCAGAAAUUUUGGCUUUGAGUCUGAAUGAAACAAGAGCCAUCUCAGGGCUUUGAGUAGAGGAGAACCACACUCAGACUUAACUUAUAUAAGAAUUAUCCCCACUGUUGCAUUGAGAGCAGAUUGCAGCGGGGGGCAGGGGCAGGGAGCAAGGGCAGAAGCAGGGAGACCCAUUGGGAAGCGAUUGCAACAACCCAGGCUGGAGAUGAUGAUGGUUUAGACCAGAGUGACAGCAGUGGGGCACAGAUGUAGUUGGAUCCUGAUUAUCUUUCGAAGUUUGAGCCAAGCUGACAGAUUGGAUUUGGGGUGUGGGAAAAAUAGAGGAGUCAACAAAUGUAUAAUUACAGCUCACCUUGAGUGCUGGUAUAAAAGGAUUCCUGGAGGAGUUCCCGUCGUGGCUCAGCGGAAAUGAAUCUGACUGACACCCAUGAAGACAAAGGUUCAAUCCCUGGUCUCGCUCAGUGGGUUAAGGAUCCAGCAUUGCCAUGAGCUGUGGUAUAGGUCACAGAUGUGGCUUGGAUCCCACAUAGCUGUGGCUGUGGUGUAGGCCAGCUGUUGCAGCUCUGAUUUGACCCCUAGCCUGGGAACCUCCAUAUGCUGCAGGUGCAGCCCUAAAGGAACAAAAAUUUUUUAAAAAGAAAUUAAAAAAAGGAUUUCUGGAGUUCCCCUUGUGGCUCAGCAGUAACAAACCUGACUAGUAUCCAUGGGGACAUGGGUUUGAUCCCUGGUCUCGCUCAGUGGGUUAAGGAUCUGGCAUUGCUGUAAACUGUGGUAUAGGUCACAGAUGUAGCUUGGAUCCCGCCUUGCUGUGGCUGUGGGGUAAGGCAGCAGCUGCAGCUCCAAUUCGACUCCCAGCCUGGAAACUUCCAUAUACCAUGGGUAUGGCCCUAAAAAAAAAAAAAAAA
Molecule: long non-coding RNA, 6459 nt
Filed under: Sus scrofa (pig)
Lineage: Eukaryota; Metazoa; Chordata; Mammalia; Artiodactyla; Suidae
Description: lncRNA (ENSSSCG00050025168.1)
Source: RNAcentral